This 1146-nucleotide long non-coding RNA is filed under the name Cricetulus griseus (Chinese hamster). RNAcentral describes it as "lncRNA (ENSCGRG00015037705.1)". Lineage: Eukaryota; Metazoa; Chordata; Mammalia; Rodentia; Cricetidae. The record is from RNAcentral.
CCAGCUUAGAAGAACAGAGCUUUGAACAAAGGUUAUUUGUCUCUGUGUGGAGAUCGUUACACCAAGAUAGAUAGAGAAAAGUGGGGGACAAAUGAUUUUUAUGUGAGGACAAGAGAGUCUUGGCUAAAAAAAUAUUUGGGAGGAAUGACACUGCACAUGGACGGGAGCACUGUCACCCAUGUUUAUUUUUGACCCACAUUGCUGCGGCUCCUCAGCCUCGUCUUCCUCUUCUCCUUUUUCUUUCUUAUUAUUGCAACCCACUUCAGAGAUCUUUGUUUUUCUGAUUAAAAAACGCCCUAAAUCUGAGUUCUGAGAUGACAACACAGUAUAAAAAGUUUCAUAACCCCUCCACUGUGCAUCCAAACAAAGACCUGUUGCAGAACAAGGUAGAAAUAAGAAAAAGAGUCAAGAGACCAGAAAAGAAACACGAGACAGUAAGCAUUAAGUUUCCUCUGUAGAAAACAAAGAAAAUUCAACAAAACUCUCUAUACUAGGCCAAUUUUAAGUCAGACUAAAAGUCAUCUUAUGGCCUAAAACAAGAAAUGAACUUGACUGUACUGAUGGGAGGGGUUCCCUGAGAACUGGAUGUCACAGAACCAGAGCUCGGCACUUACUGGGUUCAGGAAGAGCCACUACCUACCCCUCACCAGAGAGCUGACACCUCACCAAUCCUGGGAUAGUGGAACCUGAUGACCCCAGCAUGGGAGACCUGGACCUGCCCCUCAUGGGAAAGCUGGUCCCCUCACUUGGGGAAGAUGGCUCCAUUCCUUAUCCUGGGCAUGGGAGAACUGACUCCACCCUUCACCCGAGGUGAGUGGUCCCAGUGGCCUGGACCGACCAACUCAGCUACUACCCAGGCACACAUCCAAGGCUUUGAGUUGGCCCACCCUAACAUCUACCCCAUCUAUGACCUGCCGGAGCACUUGAAGGGACUGCUCCUGUGGAACCAUAACCACAGGAUCUCCAUGACUUGGGGCAACAGCAGGAUAUCCAAGAGGAGACUCAGUGAGGUUGACCAGUAUUAAUAGUGUACUAAAAACCAGAGGCCUUGAACCUGAUCAACAACACAGUCACAAAGAAUAUUUGCAAGUAGAGCUAUUUGGACAUGAAGAGGUAGGUGAUGGAGAGGCAGGAAAGACAGAGAAG